Molecule: long non-coding RNA, 1035 nt
Filed under: Homo sapiens (human)
Lineage: Eukaryota; Metazoa; Chordata; Mammalia; Primates; Hominidae
Description: HSALNT0364289
Source: RNAcentral
CGCUGCCCCUCACUUGGCUGCAACUGGACCCAGAACUAGGGAAGAGGCCAGGGACAGAUUUUUUUUUUUUAUUUUUAUUUUUUUUGCCGAGGGACGUUUCAAAAUUUUGCACGGCCAGGGUGACAAAAAGAGGAUUUAAGAGCCACAAGCGGUCCGCACAUGACCCAGACUUCGUUCCUGUGCGGCUUCCAGAGGUGUUCAUGCAGAAGACUGGAUGCAGGACCCUUGGUGGCACCAGUGUGCAGAUGAGCAGAUAGUGACUGAUUGCCACUGGGGCUAUAACAAAAUAUAAUAAACUGGGUACCUUAGAAGCAACGGAAAUUGAUUUCUCAUCGUUCUAGAAGCUAGGAAGUUCACGAUCAAGGUAGCAGCAGAGUUGGUGCCUGCUCUGGAGGCUGGAAAUCCAACAACAGAGUGCCAGCAUGAUCAGGUUCUGGAGAGGACCCUCUUCCUGUUUGCAGACUGCUGACUUCUUAUUGUAUAUUCCAAUGGUAGAAAGAGAGCAAGAGAACUCUCUGGAGUCUUUUUUUUAUAAGGGUGCUAACCCCAUUUAAGGAGGUUUCCCCUCAUAAUCUAAUUAUCUCUCAAAAGCCAUACCUUUCAACACCAUUGCAUUGAAGGUAUGCUCACUCUUUCACUAACCUUGAGAGACAUUGUCAGAUGUGCAUAAGGGAAGAACAUGAAGGACGACGGAUAAACUGUACACAGACACAGCACAUGGAGUCUGAGUCAUUUGUUUUCUCUGACAGAUCUUUACCAUGCUGGAUUGGAAGAGAAAAGACCAUCACUAAAGCAAAUGGAUCAAAUGGAGUUAUAAAUCAACUCUGUACUCUACAGGAUUGACUCAACUGCAGACAUCUCCAAUACACUCCCUCAUGGCUUUAUUUUUUCUGCUUAUGUGGAAAAAUAACAGUAAAUACAGUUAACUAUCCCAAGACAGAAGAGUAUUAUUAAAAAAGAAUACAACGUUAUUGAUUUUUCAAGACAUAAUCAGAUAUUUUUAAACUCUGAUUUAAUAAAACAUAAUGUAAUUUC